AUCAACAUAACGCUUUCUUACUUUGGGAUGCUUUCCAGUUCGUGGGAAGACUAAGGGAGGACCCUGUUAACGAGGAUGUUCUUAGAAGUCAGGGAGACGCCAUUGGGGCCAAGAAGGAGCUCGUGUUUACUGCAUGUUUGCUCUGUCUUGCUUUCAGCCGGGACAGUCGGUCUCACAGCAACCUCAGAAGAUGGGUGUUCUCACUCUAACAGACGGAUCAACAAACACUGAGUGACUCUAACAAGAUCACAGCAAGUUACGGAGACAAGGUCCCAACCCCACACUGCCAGGCUCCGUCCCCAUGUUGCUAUUUGUAAAGAGAAGGCCACCUCGUUCACUUAGUUCUUCUGGGGAAAAUCCACAAAGUCAGCAGACUGGAGAAGAUAUUCACAGCAUGUGAGAAAACAGGAAUGUGCACUCAUCCCUGGGCAUUGCGAAUUACCAUCACCUCUUGGACGGGAAACUGACAAACUGGAGGAAAGUUGAAGGCGUCAGCAACUUCACUUCUACGCGUCUUGUUCUAAAAUGUGCAAGACGGCGUGUGAAAUGAUAAUCAUUGCAGCCCUGCGCAGAGCAGUAAAGAGUAGAAACAACUUUCACAUCCUUUCUUGGUGUGAUGAAUAAAGAAACGGAGGUUUAAUCAUAGGAUGAGAUAGUACACAAUGUGUGUAGACCUAGAUCCACGUAUAACUAUACGGAUAAAGUGGGAAAAUAUUAUUGAGUCUAAAAGCAAGCUACAGGGGUGCCUGCGUGGCUCAGUUGUUAAGCGUCAGACUCGAUUUCAACUCAGGUCGUGAUCUCGUGGUUUCAUGGGUUCAAGCCCUGCGUCGGGCCCUGCACUGACAGUGUGGAGUUUGCUUGAGAUUCUCUCUUUCCCCCUCUCUCUGCCCCUCCUCUGCUCAUGCUGUCUCUGUCUCUCUCAAAAAUGAAUACAUUUUUAAAAAAAUUAAAAGCAAGCUACAAAACUACUGAACAGCACAAAAACCUUUAUAAAAAAUUUAAGACACAGAAGCAAAGGCAGAUAUAUUUUGUAUAUUCAUCCUUACACAGAUAAGUCACAAAAACAAGAAUGGGAAUAACACACACAACUAUUAGAUUAGAAGCCACCUUUGUGGAGAAGGAUGAGUAAGAGAGAGGACGAAGGACAUUGUUUAAUUUAAAAUGUUUAACUUAAUCUCUUCAAACUAGAAAUAUUUGAAGCAAAUAUUGCAAAAUAAUAGUAUUUGUUUAAUGUCUAUGGGAAGUCAGUAGGUGUGUGUUACAUUUUUUGGCACCUGCCUACAGGUUUGAAAUAUUAACAAUUAAACGAUUAAAAAUGUUACUAAUUGAA
This is a long non-coding RNA of Neofelis nebulosa (Clouded leopard), 1330 nucleotides long. RefSeq lists it as uncharacterized. The transcript is spliced from 2 exons. NCBI's taxonomy places the organism in Eukaryota, Metazoa, Chordata, Mammalia, Carnivora, Felidae. The record is from RefSeq and is a predicted model, not a curated record.